Centropristis striata (black sea bass) is the source of this 325-nucleotide long non-coding RNA. RefSeq lists it as uncharacterized. NCBI's taxonomy places the organism in Eukaryota, Metazoa, Chordata, Actinopteri, Perciformes, Serranidae. The transcript has 3 exons. The record is from RefSeq and is a predicted model, not a curated record.
CAAGGAGAGCUGAAACGCACAACAAAAUGCACAACAACAAAAAAACACAGCAUCAUUGAACAGACAAAACCAUUUUGGACUCUUCCACUGUCACUGGACGACACACAAGACAAUACCUACGACGUGGAAAGUAGCUUCCAAAGGACUUUCCAGAAAGAAGACUUGAAAGGAAACAAUGUGUACUGCAAAGAAUGUCAAAAGAAAACAGAUGCAACAAAAGAAUGUGAGAUGGUGAAAGAUCCUCAGAUUUUGGCUUUACUCCUCAAGAGAUUUGACAUUGACUACAACACCAUGUCAUAUGUCAAAUCAGACUGCUUUGUGAAUG